Molecule: ribosomal RNA, 424 nt
Filed under: uncultured bacterium
Lineage: Bacteria
Description: bacterial SSU rRNA
Rfam family: Bacterial small subunit ribosomal RNA
Source: RNAcentral
UAAGGAAUAUUGGUCAAUGGACGCAAGUCUGAACCAGCCAUGCCGCGUGAAGGAAGACGGCCCUACGGGUUGUAAACUUCUUUUGUACGGGAAAAAACCUCCGGUCGUGAACCGGAGCUGAUGGUACCGUAAGAAUAAGCAUCGGCUAACUCCGUGCCAGCAGCCGCGGUAAUACGGAGGAUGCAAGCGUUAUCCGGAUUCAUUGGGUUUAAAGGGUGCGCAGGCGGAAUGAUAAGUCAGUGGUGAAAUCCUACAGCUCAACUGUAGAACUGCCAUUGAUACUGUCGUUCUUGAGUACACUUGGAGUGGGCGGAAUGUGUCAUGUAGCGGUGAAAUGCUUAGAUAUGACACAGAACACCGAUCGCGAAGGCAGCUCACUAAAUUGUAACUGACGCUCAGGCACGAAAGCGUGGGGAUCAAACAG